Molecule: ribosomal RNA, 603 nt
Filed under: Papiliotrema flavescens
Lineage: Eukaryota; Fungi; Basidiomycota; Tremellomycetes; Tremellales; Rhynchogastremaceae
Description: eukaryotic LSU rRNA
Rfam family: Eukaryotic large subunit ribosomal RNA
Source: RNAcentral
AUAAGCGGAGGAAAAGAAACUAACAAGGAUUCCCCUAGUAACGGCGAGUGAACCGGGAAGAGCUCAAAUUUGAAAUCUGGCGUGCUCAGUGCGUCCGAGUUGUAAUCUAUAGAGUCGUUUUCCGUGCCGGACUGUGUCCAAGUCCCUUGGAACAGGGUAUCAAAGAGGGUGAUAAUCCCGUACUUGACACAAUGACCGGUGCUCUGUGAUACGUCUUCUACGAGUCGAGUUGUUUGGGAAUGCAGCUCAAAAUGGGUGGUGAGUUCCAUCUAAAGCUAAAUAUUGGCGAGAGACCGAUAGCGAACAAGUACCGUGAGGGAAAGAUGAAAAGCACUUUGGAAAGAGAGUUAAACAGUACGUGAAAUUGUUAAAAGGGAAACGAUUGAAGUCAGUCGUGACUGAGAGGCUCAGCUGGUUCUGCCGGUGUAUUCCCCUCAGUCGGGUCAACAUCAGUUUUGUUCGGUGGAUAAGGGCGGUUGGAAGGUGGCACCCUCGGGUGUGUUAUAGCCAACUGUCGCAUACAUCGGAUGAGACUGAGGAAUGCAGCUCGCCUUUAUGGCCGGGGUUCGCCCACGUUCGAGCUUAGGAUGUUGACAUAAUGGC